AGUGAACGCUGGCGGUAGGCCUAACACAUGCAAGUCGAACGGCAGCACAGUAAGAGCUUGCUCUUACGGGUGGCGGGUGGCGGACGGGUGAGGAAUACAUCGGAAUCUACUUUUUCGUGGGGGAUAACGUAGGGAAACUUACGCUAAUACCGCAUACGACCUACGGGUGAAAGCAGGGGAUCUUCGGACCUUGCGCGAUUGAAUGAGCCGAUGUCGGAUUAGCUAGUUGGCGGGGUAAAGGCCCACCAAGGCGACGAUCCGUAGCUGGUCUGAUAGGAUGAUCAGCCACACUGGAACUGAGACACGGUCCAGACUCCUACGGGAGGCAGCAGUGGGGAAUAUUGGACAAUGGGCGCAAGCCUGAUCCAGCCAUACCGCGUGGGUGAAGAAGGCCUUCGGGUUGUAAAGCCCUUUUGUUGGGAAAGAAAAGCAGCAGGUUAAUACCCCGCUGUUCUGACGGUACCCAAAGAAUAAGCACCGGCUAACUUCGUG
RNAcentral lists this ribosomal RNA (492 nucleotides) under uncultured bacterium. RNAcentral's name for it is "partial 16S ribosomal RNA". It matches the Rfam family "Bacterial small subunit ribosomal RNA", at positions 29 to 507 of the family's 1533-position model. The record is from RNAcentral.